Vicia villosa (hairy vetch) is the source of this 300-nucleotide long non-coding RNA. RefSeq lists it as uncharacterized. The transcript is spliced from 3 exons. The record is from RefSeq and is a predicted model, not a curated record. NCBI's taxonomy places the organism in Eukaryota, Viridiplantae, Streptophyta, Magnoliopsida, Fabales, Fabaceae.
CCUUCCAUGGGAUUAGGGUUUCAGAGAUCUCGGUCGCAAGUUCUUUUUCAAUAUGGAACUUUUUGUGGUAGUUAUGCGGAAUGGUUAGCAGAAUUUUGUGGGAAGUGGCGGUUCGAGUCGGUGAUGUAACCUGUUAUAACAAGGUGAAGGUUUGAUUAAUGAUUUGAAGAAAAACAGAGUGUUCGAUAUUGAAGGAAACAAAGGAAGAAGGAGGCCAAAGGGAGUUGACUCUGUACAGUGUAUGUAGUUCUAAUUAACAUAUCGGUUUAUCCUGCAUAUUGUAUAUCAAUGAUAAACCGU